This 8011-nucleotide long non-coding RNA is filed under the name Homo sapiens (human). RNAcentral describes it as "HSALNT0197385". Lineage: Eukaryota; Metazoa; Chordata; Mammalia; Primates; Hominidae. The record is from RNAcentral.
GCGGAGGCAGCUUUUCCUCAUGGGACAGGCGUCUUCCAGGGUUCCUGCUCCUGUCCAGGUGGCCGUGCUUGGCUCUAGCUCGGAUGGGCCCAAGUCAGGUGACAUAGCUCCUCCCGAUGUCCCUCCAGCCCAUGGGAGGUGGAGCUCCCUGCUUCUGCCUGUCUCCAGGCGCUGAACCAAGCCUGCCUGUUUUCUCACUGUCCAUCACCGUGUCUCCAAGCCCCUGGACUGGAUACCCUGUGUUUCAGCUUCCUUAGAGUGACUUUUGAUGUCUUCCCUGGACUCCAGACUUCCACUUAGAAGCAGCAGGAGUGCUUAGAAUCCACAGACCUCCCCUAGUCCUGUGUGAGUUACGUUUCCUCUGCCAGGAAGAGGAAACAUAGAGCCAGGUGACUUCUUCCAUUGUCCUUUAUUUUUAUUCAUUCAUAUAUUCAGCCCGACUGGCUGAGCACCCAUAAUGCGUCUAUGUGAUGCCAUCUGGGAGCUUUUAAAGAGUUUAUUAAUAGUUUACACAAAAAGUGCUUACGGGGUGCAUGGGUGUAACCCACAGACUAGUGGGAUUGGAGCACAGAUGGUGCUGUGUGUGGGUACUGAGGCCAGCCAGCGGGGAGGGGUCCAGCUGCUGACCAGGGACCCCUGAAGCCACUGGGCAAGGCAGAGCGAGCACCCUGGGCAGAGCCAGGGCUGUCUCAGCAGGACCGGCCAAAUGAGCGAGUGAGUGCUCCUUCCUCCUUCCCAGAACAUGGGUGGCUUUGAACAGGAGGCAGGCACGAUCUGCGGCUGCCGUCUGUGCAGGCAGAGAGCAGCUCUUGGUGGGCCUAUUCAUUCUGUUUGACACAGCAGAGGGACAGUGCUCUUUGAAGACUCUGUUGGGGAUCGUGAGAGGUGGAUUAAGGGUCUCCCCAAAGAUGUCCACACCCUCAUCCCUGAAACCUGCGACUGUGUCACCUUACAGGGUUACAGGGACUCGCAAAUGAGCUGGAGAGAUUUUCCUGGGUAUUCUGUGUGGGACCAAUGUCAUCCCCAGGGCCCUUAGAAGAGGGAGGCAGGAGGGCUGGAGGCAGAGGAGGAGAGGCGACCAGGGAAGCGGAGGUCGGAGGGAUGGAGGGCGGGAGUCAGGAACGUGGGCACCUCUGGAAGCUGGAAGAGGAAAGGAAAUGGAUUUCCCCCCGCACCCUGGAGCCUCCCUGGGGACAAAGCCCUGGUGACACCUGAGUUUAGCUCCGUGAGACCUGUUUCAGACUCCUGACCUCCGGGACUGUAAGUUUGACCAAGGAGCUUAUGUUUUUAAGUCAUGGAAUAAAACAUGGAUUACUAUUGUGGGUUGAACUGCAUCCCCCAAAAAGAUCAGUGGAGGUCCUAGAAACACAGGACUUCAGAAUGUGACUGUGUCUGAAGACAAGGUCAUUGCAGAUGUAAUUGUUAAGAUGAAAUCAUACUGGAGCAGGCUGGGCCCACUCCAGUACGACCGAUGUCAUCAUAAGAGAAGAGACACAGAGACUCCACGUGGAGACAGAGGCGGAGAUGGGAGCAAUGUGGCCACAAACCCAGGGUUGCCACAACCAGCAGAAACUAGGAGGAGGCGAGGCAGGAGCCUCCCCUGCGCCUCCAGAGAGAGCCUGGCCCUGCCAAUACCGUGAUUUCGGACUUCUUUUAACCUCCAGAAUUGUGCAAGAAUAAAUGUUGCUUGUUUUGAGCCACCCAGCUUGUGGUCCUCAGUUACAACAGUCCCAGGAAACUAAUACAUCUAGUAAAUAAAAUGAGAGCGGUUUCUCUGCAUGAACUGAAAUGAUGGCGGGCUCUGCAGGGACAGUUCGCAGACAUCUGCAAACAAAUACUGUCCAAACCGUGGUAAACAGCCGUCUUUUAUUUCGGCGAAAGCCUUUGGGCCAGUUUUCGUAUGUUGUUGGAAGCACUAAAUCUCUCGCUGGCAGAGAUCUGCAAGCAGCUACAAGCCAGCGGCUCACCUGCAGCAAAACGCCUGGAGGCAGGUCCAUGCAAUGCCCACGUCUUGCAUGUCAUUGUGCAGUUAAACAGCUCCUGAACCAGAGAGCAGCUGCGCCCAGACAGCUUCCCGGGUGGUAAGAACUGUAUUUGACCUCCUGGCAGCACAAACGACUGAAUAACAAUUAAACAAAACAGGACAGUCUCCGUGUUUCAAAAUGCGCAUUUAAACCUAAAAGAAACACGGUGUGUUUACUUUCUGAGCCUGGCCUUCCCUGGGUGCACAGUGAGCCACUUCUGAAAGCGUAUGGGCACACCCGCUACAGAAACCAGCUUACACUGGCUCGGUUGCCAGUCCUGGGGCAUUUCAGAAGAAUUGAGUCAGAAAGGUGUUUUCUGUGGGUGAUUCAAAGGCUCCAGGUCUCCAGAAAUUUGUUGCAUGAAAUGGAGAAUAAGUAGGCUCGGGCUCGGACUUGGCCGCGUGCAGCUUCAGGGGUGAAGCUGCUUGGAGGCCAGGGGCCAGCCCCAGUGCUUGGAUGCUGGGGUGCAGAUCCGGGAAUGGGAUGAUAGCCAGGUGGAAAGGGGGAGGUGGCUCCUGGGUCUUGGAGAAGAGGGUGAGAAUAUAACCAAAGAUUUGUCUGAAAGCCAGACAGUGGAGAGUCAGCUUGGCUGUGAAUCAUACCUAGUUUGAGCAUAAAGAUGAGAAGUGAAAACAGAGAUGGGGAGGUAAAAAAGGAGGGGGAGGUGAACAGAGAGGCUUAGGUCCCCAUCGAUAACAGUAGCUAAUGACACGUGAACACGGGAUCUCUUUGCUUGCUUUUCUUUUUUUUUUUUUUUUUAAGACAGGGUCUUGCUCUGUCACCAAAGCUGGAGUGCAGUGGCACAAUCAUGGCUCACUGCAGCCUCAACCUCCCGGGUUCCAGUGAUCCACCCAUCUCAGCCUCCAGAGUAGCUGGGACUACAGGGGUGCACCACCAUACCUGGCUAUUUUUAGUAUUUUUUGUAGAGACGGGUUUUUUUGCCAUGUUGCCCAGGCUGGUCUCGAACUCCUGGGUUUAAGUGAUCUGCCUGCCUCAGCCUCCCAAAGUGCUGGGGGAUUACAGGUGUGAGCCACUGCAUCUGGCCAAGGGAUAUCUUUUGAGAUCUUCUUGCCCCAGAGCUUAAUUUCAGAAUCCAGCGUGAUUGUUAAAGAAGAAAAUAAACGGGCUUUUUCUAUUUUACCUGGAGCAUGUCACCAGGACAAUUUUCAUCCAAAGACCUAGUUCAAUGGGGCUCCUUCCCCAAGCUCCCCACACACGCUCCGGGAAUCGAUUUUUUUUACAGUUGUCUGAAGUGCAAGUCAAGCUUUUGCACACACACUCUCUCUCUUUCUCUUUUUCUCUGUCUUAAAUUGCCAGAAAUGUACAAUUUUCCUAAUGGAGAGUUUAUUUCAGGCUCAUCAAGAUAAAAUAAAUUCCGCUGGUGUGCAGCCGGCCAGGCGCAGGGCAGAGCGGCGGCAAGCGGCCCGCGGGCAGAGGGGGCAGCGAGGGUCCAUGCUCAGCGUCUGAACGUUACAUUGGCAUCUGGGGAGGGGGGGGGCUCCAUGUGUGGUCACGUGAACUCCGAGAACGAACCUGGCUGAGCACAGUCGACCUUGUCACUGUCAUGACCCAAGGUGUCCUCUGUGACUGGACAUGGGGCGGGGUGCGUUACGUAGAUGACUCGUUAAGCUCUAGUGGCUAACUCAGUGCGUCCAUGAAGGCUGUGCGGAGAUGCGGCCGGCAGAAGGCAAACAUAGAUGACGCUGGGGAUAUCGGUGUAAAUACGGGUAUGGCCAGUUGGUCGAUACAGAAGGGUUUGUUUGAAGGCCUUCGCUCACACGAUUGUGGCUGCUGGCAAAUCCAAAAUCUAUAAGGCAGGCUGGCGGCUGGAGCCUCAGGCAGGAUUUCUACGAGGCAGAAUUUCUCCUCCUUCGGGAAACCUGCUUCCCCUCGGAAGGCCUUCUGUGGGCUGCGUGAUGUGCUCCCACAUGCUCAGGGGCAAGCUCCUUUAUUGGCUGUAGGCAUCGGCCACAUCCCCAAAACACCUGCCCAGCAACCCUGAGAUGACUGCUUGGGUUCGUCUCCAGGUACGCUAAGCCUGCCCACAUAAAACUGACUGCCACACACUGACGUUCUCCGGUGAGAGAUGGGAGACUCAGAGAGGCCACUUCCUUUGCCAGGGUUGUAGAGCAAUGGAAGGGCUUGAGUGGUCAGGUCUUUGGGUCUCAUUGCCUGUGGUUCUAAACUAGCAGAGUGUGGAAUGCCUCGGCUUCCACUGACCCUGUGGCCCCGGCAGGGCCUCCACCAUCAGGACCGCCGAGCACGCCCUCCUGCCAGGAGCGACGUCCUCCUUCCUGAGAAGUUUCUCGUGGGUGGGAGGGAUGGGAACCGGACUCUUGACACCUCCCUGGUGCCCCAGCCCCACCCUCGCAAGGCGGACCACCCAGAAGGUUCUUCCGGCCCCUUUUCCAAAGCCCUCCUGCCUCACUUAACCCAGCCCAGGUUAACUGAUGACUGUGGGAAGAGAUGUUUCCAGCAGCACACUGUCUUGUAAUCCAAGGGGCCCUGGAAAAAGGGGUUUCGCAGCGGCACUGUGGUCUCAGAGUCCAUGCGAGAGGAAACACAUCUGUCCCUGUAUUUUCCGCAGACACCCCCCCUCGCCUCCCCCACGUCCCCACAGGCUGUCAUAUUGUUUCCAGUUGUGUUUAUGGUAAACUCAGGCCAUAACACGCCUCUGUCGUUGUAAAAGAUGGAAAGAGUCUUAGGAGAGAAAUUUUCAUCCCAGGCCUUUCAAGCGGCAUUUUCCCGGUGGUAGAGGUGAAUGGGAAACAUGAAGCAGCUGCCUGCAGGAACGUUUUUCCCUCUGUGGCAAGGAUAAACAGUGAAAGGCGUUUGCUGAAGAUGGAAAGAGACACUGUGCAAACCAAUAUGCACAGCUCCUGAGGCCUGUGCUGGGGGCCGUGGCUUGCUGACGUCUCUCCAAAUACGCAAGUCAGAGAAGGGCUGACUCACAGGUCAUGGAUUGCAAAAAAUAUGGCACAAGCCUGACUUCGAACUUUCAAAGGGACAAGGACGUGCACGCCACAGCCACAGCCCCAGACCAGGGUGUAGGCCGUGGGGCUCCAGCUCCCUUCUGGGCAUCACUGCUGUGUGUCCUUGGGAGAGUGUCUCCGCCUCUCUGGCACCUCCCUUCACUCUGGAAACCUGUCCAUCAGGCCAGGGGACUGGGGUGGCGUGCGGCCUACCUCCUCCCACCUUCCGAGCCCAACCCCAAAACUGGAUAAGCAGUCAGCUUGCACUCUGAACCCAGAACUGAAACGAGGAUUAAGCUUCGCUUUGUGCGUGCCACAAACCAGACACCACAUCCAACCUCCGGCUCUAGGGCCAGGAACUCCAAUCACCAAGCAUUUUUGGAAAACCAAAUCAAAGCUAGAUGGCUUUUCUAACAUGUUAUAUUGUAUUAAAGAUUGAAAAUGACAUUGAGAAGUAAAAAUAAAUUGGAAAUAACUGGAAAAAUCUAAAUGUCCAGUAACAUUGGGGGAUUCAUUAAAAAUUCUGACCCAAUGGAACGUCGACGAGCCACCACAAUGACCUUUUUAAAGAAUGUUCCCUGCUGGGCAAAGAUGCUCAUGAAAUCUUACUUGAAAAAUAAAGUAGGCCAUGGAAAGGUAUGUACAGUAAGAUCACACUUAGGAAAUUAUAUAUAAUCGGGGUGCUCAGGCUUUCAGAAAAAAAACCAGAAGAGGCACACAGAGUCACAGGGCACAGAGUCUGGGUGGCGGGCCCCUAUGAGAUUUUCACUCUCUCUAUGUAUGCGUAUUUUGUGUGUUAUACAUUUUAUAUAAUGAGUGUAUUAAUUCUGUGAUCAGAAGGAAGUCAGUGUUUUUGUGUUUUGUGUGUGUGUGUCUCAAGGCAGCAUUAUAAAAGGGACUAGGUCAUCAGCUUCCUCAGCUACCCCACGGCAAACCGCCCUUGUUCUUUUUUUAACUUACAACAGCUCAGAAGCCAAACUUCAAACUGCUCUCGUCAAGGGUUUUUUCCUUCACACUAAGAGCCAGAGACAUAGCAAGGAACCCGGCCCUGAAGCAGUGGGCACAGGCUGCUGACCGGCUCCGCCCUGCCUCUGGGACCCUGGGCAGGCUGCUUGACCUCUCUGGCCUCAGUUUUCCGAACUGUGAAAUGGGAGCAUUAAUGACAGGAUCAACCCCUGGGAAGCGCGGGUAGGGUUAUAUAAUGAGAACACCGGAUCCAUAUGAAGAUUACUGUUUCUCCCCGCCUCGCAUCUCCAUUUGGGCCGGCCACAUUUCAGGUGCUGAGCGACUGCCGGGGCCAUCACACAGGCCAGCCAGAGAUACCAUCAGAUCCAGCAGGCGGGGCACCCGGCUCACACCAGAACUCCAUUCACCAAACCUGAAUCUCACCUACCAGGCACUGCUUGUGUAUGUGAUGGCAGGAGCAGAGGCAGCAAUCAUGAGCGUGAGAGGACAGCUGGCCCAGGCCAAGUCAACAGGCUGGAAAUGGCACAGCAGAAAGAAGAAAUGAAUCCAGAGCCUCGAUGAAGUUCUGAGUUUCCAAAGAAACCAACCCUGGAACCGUCCCAGCUGCAGAAUUUCUCCUUCUAGAAAAUGAUACAUCCCUUCUCUGUUGAAGGCAUUUCCAGUCAAGUCUUCUGUUACCUGCAGCCUGAAGCAUUCUAAUCUACAGAGAGCCCACUCCUAGAUUCUUCCUGGAUCUGGUUUGUAAGAAUUACUCAGAUUUAAUGACUUUGAGCCAUGAAAUGAUGGAGAAACAACUUUCCUGGGCAAAAAAGGGAAGAGGUACCAGCUCUCCCCUUCUCUUGUCCCAAACCCAACGGCUUUAGCCCAAAGGGCAGAGGAAAAAGUGUGGAGCAGACGAAGCCCAGGAGCUUGAGCACUGGAUGCACUGCAUUUAAUUUCCGAGUGCCACUUGUCCAUUCACAGGCGCAAACCCCAACCCACAGGAGAUGCUGGCUACUUUAUGGUUGCUUAGCAACCAGUGAUCACCCUUCUCCUGAACUGCAGUGCCCAACUUUACUUUUGGGGGACCUCCUCUACCCAAUUCUCAGUAAAGUUAGCUCAGAGACGUCUGACUUCUUCCUGGCUAAUCAGGAUACCCCAUCCCUCUGGAAACAGUGGAUGGUUCAGAACUAGGCACACGACCUGAGCCAGUCCAAUGAGACUCCACCUCGGUCCUUGCAGGGCAGUCUGUGAAGGGUGAAGCCAAGACAGCGAGAGGCAGGGCCAGGAGCUGGAGAAUGGCUCAGGCUUAAAAGUACAGCUGGAUCUCAGCUUUUCAAUUCUGCGAGCCAGUGAAUUUCUCCCUUUCUUUUCAUAAUCCCGCGCAGCUUGGUGUUCUACCUUACCUAUCCAAAGGAAUCUUAAGUGAGGCAGCUCCCCCAUGAGGGACACUGACCCAGACGCUGGGAAUUGGAUUCAGCUUGCACCCCCUCAAGACCGUGCAUUAAGACCAAGGUGCAUUUCUUAUGUAUAGCAUGGUAGAUUGUGGUAGUGAUAAUGUGGUUCCCCAUAAAAUUCCUUGUUUCCUUCUGGUAAUGGAGCCCCUCUUUCUUCCAGGGAGCUGUACCAUGUAGUAGAGAUGAGGUUCAAUGAAUCUUCCCUCCCACACCCUCCCACACUCACCCAAAGAGUCCAAGACCAUGGCCUGUCCAAUUGGAACUAAUCCAUCCAGAGCGGCUGGUUUAGGGGUGAGCCCAUGACCCAAACCGGGCCACUCAUACUGCUUCAUGGGACUUUUGCCAAAACACAUGGAAGGAAGGGUCUUUCUUAAAAGGUGCUCUCAGCUUGACAUUGCUGGGGCCGUGUUUGCCAAACUGGGGGAAGCCUUGAAGAGAAGGACGCCGCACAGAGGAAAGUGGGGGCACAAAUGUGCGUCCUCGUUUUCCAGAGCCAGCCUCUGCCAAAGCGUCACCCUUUAUACUCCCAGAUGCAGGAAACUUGUUUAGUGUAAGCCAAUUUGAGUUGGAUUUUUGUCACUUACUAACAAGACUCCUAACGAAUGCAUUCAAU